This 851-nucleotide ribosomal RNA is filed under the name Psathyrella fulvescens. RNAcentral's name for it is "eukaryotic LSU rRNA". It matches the Rfam family "Eukaryotic large subunit ribosomal RNA", at positions 104 to 943 of the family's 3401-position model. The record is from RNAcentral. Lineage: Eukaryota; Fungi; Basidiomycota; Agaricomycetes; Agaricales; Psathyrellaceae.
AAGCUCAAUUUAAAAUCUGGUGGUCUUCGGCCAUCCGAGUUGUAAUCUAGAGAAGUGUUACCCGCGUCGGACCGUGUACAAGUCUCCUGGAAUGGAGCGUCAUAGAGGGUGAGAAUCCCGUCUUUGACACGGACUACCGAGGCUUUGUGGUGCGCUCUCAAAGAGUCGAGUUGUUUGGGAAUGCAGCUCAAAAUGGGUGGUAAAUUCCAUCUAAAGCUAAAUAUUGGCGAGAGACCGAUAGCGAACAAGUACCGUGAGGGAAAGAUGAAAAGAACUUUGGAAAGAGAGUUAAACAGUACGUGAAAUUGCUGAAAGGGAAACGCUUGAAGUCAGUCGCGUUGGCCGGAAAUCAGCCUUGCUUUUGCGGGGUGUACUUUCUGGUUGACGGGCCAGCAUCAGUUUUGACCGGUGGAAAAAGUCCAAGGGAAUGUGGCAUCUUCGGAUGUGUUAUAGCCCUUGUUCGUAUACAUCGAUUGGGACUGAGGAACUCAGCACGCCGAAAGGCCGGGUCUUUGACCACGUUCGUGCUUAGGAUGCUGGCAUAAUGGCUUUAAUCGACCCGUCUUGAAACACGGACCAAGGAGUCUAACAUGCCUGCGAGUGUUUGGGUGGAAAACCCGGACGCGCAAUGAAAGUGAAAGUUGAGAUCCUUGUCAUGGGGAGCAUCGACGCCCGGACCAGAAGUUUUCUGACGGCCCUGCGGUAGAGCAUGUAUGUUGGGACCCGAAAGAUGGUGAACUAUGCCUGAAUAGGGUGAAGCCAGAGGAAACUCUGGUGGAGGCUCGUAGCGAUUCUGACGUGCAAAUCGAUCGUCAAAUUUGGGUAUAGGGGCGAAAGACUAAUCGAACCAU